RNAcentral lists this unclassified non-coding RNA (206 nucleotides) under Hevea brasiliensis (rubber tree). The record is from RNAcentral. Lineage: Eukaryota; Viridiplantae; Streptophyta; Magnoliopsida; Malpighiales; Euphorbiaceae.
CGGCCCAAUACCAAUGGACAGUCUUACCUUUUGGACUUAAAAUAGCCCCAUCCUUAUUCCAAAAGGCAAUGAGAAUAAUCUUUGAACCCAUUCUCCACAGUGUUCUUAUCUAUAUUGAUGAUAUUCUUGUAUUCUCAAAAGACAUCUCGGCCCAAAAACAACUGCUUUCCUAAUUCCAGUCUAUAGUCCACACUUAUGGAAUCAUG